CCUAACUCUAUUAUAUCAGAAAAAUAAUAAUUUUUAAUAUUUUUAUUAUUUUAAGAAAAUUUUUAAUAUAAAUUAUAAAAAAUAAAUAAAUUGUGAUUGAACUCUGAUGAAAGGGAGUUAAAUGUAUUUACUUAAAAUUUUGAGAGUAUAAAAUAUAUGUUUUAACAGUCAAGAGAAAAAAAAUAAAAAAGGGUAUUUAUGGAGAGAUUUUUUUAUAUUUUAGUCUUUUUUUUUUUUAAUCGAGAGUCGUUAUUUUUAACUAUUUUGAUUUUUUAUAUUUAUUAAAAAAAUUCCAAAUUUAAUUCAUUAGUCGUGAACUAUUAAUUAGUCUGAUUUUAUCUGUUAAAAAAUAAUUAAAAUUAUUAAAUUUUGCAAAAUAUUAUUUAAUUUUGUAAAAUUUCUAAUGUUUUAACUAAUAUUAGUUAAACGCUAUUCAAAAUUACGAAAAUGUUACAUCACGUGCAGUUAGAAAAUAUGAUGAAAAAAUAAUAUAUUUAUUUUCGUUGUAAUAUCAUAUUGUCCUACCGAAAUACUGAUAAGCAUAUUUUUAUAUACUUUCGUAGUAAUGCUAUU
This 573-nucleotide long non-coding RNA is filed under the name Ananas comosus (pineapple). RNAcentral's name for it is "long non-coding RNA (ACOM_LNC016639)". The record is from RNAcentral. Lineage: Eukaryota; Viridiplantae; Streptophyta; Magnoliopsida; Poales; Bromeliaceae.